CCCCCUCGAAUCUUAUUGGCUCUCUUGUUGAAACAGGCCCUGAAGAUUUAUGUUAUACAACGUUUGACAUGUUUGAACGAACCUAAAUAAGAAAAAAAUGCAUUUUGUUGACAGAGUAGCCCCGCGCUCUUCGGAACUUUUGGUGCAGCCUUCAGAACGCGCUAACAACAACAAGCUAAUGGAACAUAAAGGAUGAACUUUUUCGACCGAAAAUACAUCUGUUGUGGACCUGGGAUUCCUGGAAGUGCUUUCUGAUGAAGACAACUAAAGCAAGUCCCGCACGACAUGUGAAGGAAGCAUAUGCAAGAGGAAUAGUUUCCUUCUUUCCGUACCUGGCCGACCCCAAAAGCAAGACUGACUAUGCUGUGACAGUGACAUGUCGUCCAUUCUUCUUAUCAUCCAUCUUCUGCCUCCCUCCUCUCAAGGCCGCAACAAGCCGGGAAAGAUGUCAGCAAGACACGCAGCUGAACAUCUUGUGAAGUUCAUGAAGGUAAUGGCUUCCUGAAGUUCUCCAAGCAGCUGAUUGGUCAGCCCCAUUGCUGAUUGGAGAGCUGACCCCGCCCCCUCGUCAGGACGCAGCUGUCUCAAUUAACAACCCCAAUAUAAGCCAGUGUGCUGUUGCUCAGAGAAAGAGAGAGACACAGAGAUUUUUGCUGAGAGAGGAGGUUGAUGGCAGAG
This 678-nucleotide long non-coding RNA is filed under the name Salmo salar (Atlantic salmon). RNAcentral describes it as "lncRNA (ENSSSAG00000095106.1, ENSSSAG00000116198.1)". Lineage: Eukaryota; Metazoa; Chordata; Actinopteri; Salmoniformes; Salmonidae. The record is from RNAcentral.